RNAcentral lists this long non-coding RNA (181 nucleotides) under Callithrix jacchus (white-tufted-ear marmoset). RNAcentral describes it as "lncRNA (ENSCJAG00000085730.1)". Lineage: Eukaryota; Metazoa; Chordata; Mammalia; Primates; Cebidae. The record is from RNAcentral.
AGGUUUUGGGGUACAUGUGAAGAACAUGCAAGAUUGCUGCAUAGGGAGAGAAAGUGAGGCAUUUAUUGCAGGACACCAACCAAGAAGAAUUGUGUAGUUCAUGCUGAGUACUCAAACUCCCUGAUGGCUUAGAGGUAAAGUUUUUUUGAAUUAUUUCUCACUUUUUAAAAUUUCCAUAUAU